RNAcentral lists this ribosomal RNA (1064 nucleotides) under Didymella exigua. Its description in RNAcentral is "SSU rRNA". It matches the Rfam family "Eukaryotic small subunit ribosomal RNA", at positions 50 to 1123 of the family's 1831-position model. The record is from RNAcentral. Lineage: Eukaryota; Fungi; Ascomycota; Dothideomycetes; Pleosporales; Didymellaceae.
CAUGCAUGUCUAAGUAUAAGCAAUUAUACCGUGAAACUGCGAAUGGCUCAUUAAAUCAGUUAUCGUUUAUUUGAUAGUACCUUACUACUUGGAUAACCGUGGUAAUUCUAGAGCUAAUACAUGCUGAAAACCCCAACUUCGGGAGGGGUGUAUUUAUUAGAUAAAAAACCAACGCCCUUCGGGGCUUCUUGGUGAUUCAUGAUAACUUCACGGAUCGCAUGGCCUUGCGCCGGCGACGGUUCAUUCAAAUUUCUGCCCUAUCAACUUUCGAUGGUAAGGUAUUGGCUUACCAUGGUUUCAACGGGUAACGGGGAAUUAGGGUUCGAUUCCGGAGAGGGAGCCUGAGAAACGGCUACCACAUCCAAGGAAGGCAGCAGGCGCGCAAAUUACCCAAUCCCGACACGGGGAGGUAGUGACAAUAAAUACUGAUACAGGGCUCUUUUGGGUCUUGUAAUUGGAAUGAGUACAAUUUAAACCUCUUAACGAGGAACAAUUGGAGGGCAAGUCUGGUGCCAGCAGCCGCGGUAAUUCCAGCUCCAAUAGCGUAUAUUAAAGUUGUUGCAGUUAAAAAGCUCGUAGUUGAAACUUGGGCCUGGCUGGCAGGUCCGCCUCACCGCGUGUACUUGUCCGGCCGGGCCUUUCCUUCUGGAGAACCUCAUGCCCUUCACUGGGUGUGUUGGGGAACCAGGACUUUUACUUUGAAAAAAUUAGAGUGUUCAAAGCAGGCCUUUGCUCGAAUACGUUAGCAUGGAAUAAUAGAAUAGGACGUGCGGUCCUAUUUUGUUGGUUUCUAGGACCGCCGUAAUGAUUAAUAGGGACAGUCGGGGGCAUCAGUAUUCAAUUGUCAGAGGUGAAAUUCUUGGAUUUAUUGAAGACUAACUACUGCGAAAGCAUUUGCCAAGGAUGUUUUCAUUAAUCAGUGAACGAAAGUUAGGGGAUCGAAGACGAUCAGAUACCGUCGUAGUCUUAACCGUAAACUAUGCCGACUAGGGAUCGGGCGAUGUUCUUUUUCUGACUCGCUCGGCACCUUACGAGAAAUCAAAGUUUUUGGGUUCUGGGGGGAG